This 208-nucleotide ribosomal RNA is filed under the name uncultured bacterium. RNAcentral describes it as "partial 16S ribosomal RNA". It matches the Rfam family "Bacterial small subunit ribosomal RNA", at positions 568 to 774 of the family's 1533-position model. The record is from RNAcentral.
AGCGUAGACGGUGUGGCAAGUCUGAUGUGAAAGGCAUGGGCUCAACCUGUGGACUGCAUUGGAAACUGUCAUACUUGAGUGCCGGAGGGGUAAGCGGAAUUCCUAGUGUAGCGGUGAAAUGCGUAGAUAUUAGGAGGAACACCAGUGGCGAAGGCGGCUUACUGGACGGUAACUGACGUUGAGGCUCGAAAGCGUGGGGAGGCAAACA